This is a microRNA precursor of Oryza rufipogon (brownbeard rice), 205 nucleotides long. It matches the Rfam family "MIR812 microRNA precursor family". NCBI's taxonomy places the organism in Eukaryota, Viridiplantae, Streptophyta, Magnoliopsida, Poales, Poaceae. The record is from Rfam.
AAAAAGACAAACCCUGAGUUUCCGUGUCCAACUCUGACUGUCCGUCUUAUAUAAAAUUUUUUUAUAAUUCGUAUUUUCAUUGUUGUUAGAUGAUAAAACAUAAUGAAUAUUUUAUGCGUGACUUGUCUUUUUAAUUUUUUCGUAAUUUUUUUAAAUAAGACGGACGGUCAAACGUUAGGCACGGAAAUUAGGGUUUGUCCUUUUU